Long non-coding RNA from Osmia bicornis bicornis, 388 nucleotides. RefSeq lists it as uncharacterized. Lineage: Eukaryota; Metazoa; Arthropoda; Insecta; Hymenoptera; Megachilidae. The record is from RefSeq and is a predicted model, not a curated record. The transcript has 3 exons.
AGAAAAGAAACAGGAACAAGAACAAGACUACCAAUUAAAAGCCUGCUAGUAAACUCAGAGAAAGGAAAACAAGAAAAAGCACACUGUCACCCUGUUAUGAAAGAACUAUACAAUACCAAUGCCAGAGAAAGGCAUCAUGAAUUAAUUGAAUUUAAGGAAUAUAAAAGAAGAGGAAUUAGAAUAUCCAAGGAUAUGUUACAGGCGACAAUCAAAAGGGCGGCAGGGAAUGAAAUGAAAUAAAUAAGAUGAAUGGACAAUGACGGAACGAAAGAAUGAACAAAUGGACAAACAAUUGAUCAGCGACGUUAUCAAUUCAAGAAGUUAAAGGAAUGAAGUAAAUACAAAAGCGUAAGUAUAAAAUGAAAGCUGCGGCCAGCAUAAUGUAAAC